AGAGAACAGAGUUUACACAAAGGAGAGCAUCACUACACUGGGUUGCUAAGGUUACAGGAGAGAGUGUUGAAUGGCGUUGUGAUUCAUUUGUUGGGAGACGAAGACCCUCGAGUACGACACAUAGCCGCUGCUACUGUCAGCAGGCUGGUCAGUGUGUUGUUCUAUGAGUGUGACCAGGGUCAGGCUGACCCGGUGGUGGCUAUAGCCAGAGACCAGAGCUCUGUGUAUCUACAGUUACUGAUGCAUGAGACGCUACCGCCUUCACACUUUACUGUCUCUACCAUCACCAGGUAUGUAUAUAUACACACAC
Long non-coding RNA from Oncorhynchus keta (chum salmon), 310 nucleotides. RefSeq lists it as uncharacterized. The record is from RefSeq and is a predicted model, not a curated record. NCBI's taxonomy places the organism in Eukaryota, Metazoa, Chordata, Actinopteri, Salmoniformes, Salmonidae. The transcript is spliced from 3 exons.